GCCUCUUUAGCUCAGUCGGUAGAGCAGUUCACUCGUAAUGAACAGGUCGGGGGUUCAAGUCCCCCAGGAGGCU
Molecule: transfer RNA, 73 nt
Filed under: Bacteroidota bacterium
Lineage: Bacteria; Pseudomonadati; Bacteroidota
Also listed under: 2 other names
Description: tRNA-Thr
Rfam family: tRNA
About the family: Transfer RNA (tRNA) molecules are approximately 80 nucleotides in length. Their secondary structure includes four short double-helical elements and three loops (D, anti-codon, and T loops).
Source: RNAcentral